AGUGAACGCUGGCGGUAGGCCUAACACAUGCAAGUCGAACGGCAGCACAGUAAGAGCUUGCUCUUACGGGUGGCGAGUGGCGGACGGGUGAGGAAUACAUCGGAAUCUACUUUUUCGUGGGGGAUAACGUAGGGAAACUUACGCUAAUACCGCAUACGACCUACGGGUGAAAGCAGGGGAUCUUCGGACCUUGCGCGAUUGAAUGAGCCGAUGUCGGAUUAGAUAGUUGGCGGGGUAAAGGCCCACCAAGGCGUCGAUCCGUAGCUGGUCUGAGAGGAUGAUCAGAGACAGUGGGACUGAGACACGGUCCAGACUGCUACGGGAACACGGAGUGGGGAAUAUUGGACAAUGGGCGCAAGGCUGAUCCCGCCAUACCGCGUGGGUGAAGAAGGCCUUCGGGUUGUAAAGCCGUUUUGUUGGGAAAGAAAAGCAGCAGGUUAAUACCCCGCUGUUCUGACGGUACCCAAAGAAUAAGCACCGGCUAACUCCGUG
Molecule: ribosomal RNA, 492 nt
Filed under: uncultured bacterium
Lineage: Bacteria
Description: partial 16S ribosomal RNA
Rfam family: Bacterial small subunit ribosomal RNA
Source: RNAcentral